GAUGAACGCUAGCGGCAGGCUUAAUACAUGCAAGUUGAGGGGCAGCAUGAUAUACGCGAGUAUAUUGAUGGCGACCGGCGGACGGGUGAGUAAUAGGUAGGAGGCCUACCUCAUACAGGGGGAUAGCAUAGAGAAAUCUGUGGUAAUACCCCAUGAGGUUAUAUGAAUAGAGGCAUAUAAUCAAAGCAUAAGCGAUUAUGCGGUAUGAGAGGGGCCUACUGACCAUUAGCUAGUUGGUGAGGUAAGGGCUCACCAAGGCGAAGAUGGUUAGGGGUUUUGAGAGAGAGACCCCCCACAUUGGAACUGAGAGACGGUCCAGACUCCUACGGGAGGCAGCAGUAGGGAAUAUUGGGCAAUGGGCGAAAGCCUGACCCAGCCAUGCCGCGUGAAGGAAGACGGCCUUAUGGGUUGUAAACUUCUUUACUACGCGAAUAGAGGUUAGUACGAGAUACUAAUAGGAAGGUAGUGUAGUAAAAAGCACCGGCUAACUCCGUG
This 495-nucleotide ribosomal RNA is filed under the name uncultured bacterium. RNAcentral describes it as "bacterial SSU rRNA". It matches the Rfam family "Bacterial small subunit ribosomal RNA", at positions 28 to 507 of the family's 1533-position model. The record is from RNAcentral.